Non-coding RNA from Paramisgurnus dabryanus, 2436 nucleotides. The record is from RefSeq and is a predicted model, not a curated record. Lineage: Eukaryota; Metazoa; Chordata; Actinopteri; Cypriniformes; Cobitidae.
UUGGUUCCGCCCGGAUGUUUCCGUCCAGACCGGAAAACGGAAACACCGGACAUCCGGCAGAUUCACAGAGGCUGUAAUCAGCCGAUUGGGCACAGCUGUGCCUAGUUGAAGAGAUCGCCUGGCAAUUGGAUGAUUAUAGCACAGAGAGGAGUAUAUAAAGCACAGUUAGAACACAGUUAGAGUUUUUUUUUUUAGUGUGUGCUGGGAAACGGAGCUGUGCUCAUUGUUGGACGUGGUGGCUGUCUGUGGUUCUCUCUCUCUCUCUCGUUGCAGUUUGAUUGUGGAUCUGCUGGAGUAAACAGGAAAAUCCUAUGGGUAAAAAGGAACUUGUUCUAACCAAUAUUGAAGGAGUAAAGCAGGAAGAAAAUUUACCUUCUGGUACAACGUAAACAAAGGCUAUUCGCCGUGAGUAUACCCUUUUUGUGUGGAGUAACUGGCAAAAGUUAACUUGUGUAACUAUUGGAAACCUCCAGGAGAAGGAGGGCGGCCCUACCCCUAUAAGAGUGUGGUGGGCGAGCCGUUAGGAGUAUAACUCCAAACAGCCACCGCAACGAGACUUAUUGUGGUCGUAUUUCCCAUCGCCUUAUCGUAGCCCAAGCGCAGUGGAGGACACCGGGCGCUUCCUUUGUUGUGGUGCACUUAUAGUGUGGUGAGUGAGACUGUGUAUUAAAUUCUUUUCACGUUUGGAGUGGUGCUGUGUAUAUUGCUGUGGGUUGCUGUGUGUCUUGUAGACGAAGCCCCGCAUCAUCCAUUUUCUUCCACUGGGCAGAGGACGGAGAGGCCAACGACUACAGAAAUCACUGUUACUAUAAGUAGUGUGCUGUUCGGAGUGCGAAGGGACGCAGACUAAGAGCUGUCCGUGACCGUGAGUAAACCAUUGGAAAACAUUUCGUGGUGUGAACUUACCUGUGUCUGUUUUCGUCGCAGAGUUGGAGGCGAAAGGGUCCGCCGCCCCGUGGUCUCUACGAAAAGGGCGCCCCCGUCUAGGAAUCGAUCGGCCUACGGGCAUUGGAGAUAGGGCAGCGCUCGACCCGGUGAGGUGGUGUGUGACCUUCGCCCCUCUGUUGACCUACGGAGGAGAACCAUACCUACCCAGACAGUUGUAAACAGCAGAGCCGGUGAGAAUUACUCGAAGUCUCAGCAACAGUGUCUUUGUGUUCUAGCGGCCACCUGUGGAGAGAGAGCAGAACGAGAGUGAAUCAUUGAAGAGCAAAUUGUGAACGUGAUACCUACCCAGAAAGCUGUAAACAGCAGAGCCGCGGCCACCUGUGGAGAGAGAGCAGAACGAGAGUGAAUCAUUGAAGAGCAAACUGUGAACGUGAUACCUACCCAGAAAGCUGUAAACAGCAGAGCCGGUGAGAGUUACUCGAAGUCUCAGCAACAGUGUCUCUGUGUUCUAGCGGCCACCUGUGGAGAGAGAGCAGAACGAGAGUGAAUCAUUGAAGAGCAAAUUGUGAACGUGAUACCUACCCAGAAAGCUGUAAACAGCAGAGCCGGUGAGAAAUACUCGAAGUCUCAGUAACAGUGUCUUUGUGUUCUAGCGGCCACCUGUGGAGAGAGAGCAGAACGAGAGUGAAUCAUUGAAGAGCAAAUUGUGAACGUGAUACCUACCCAGAAAGCUGUAAACAGCAGAGCCGGUGAGAAAUACUCGAAGUCUCAGUAACAGUGUCUUUGUGUUCUAGCGGCCACCUGUGGAGAGAGAGCAGAACGAGAGUGAAUCAUUGAAGAGCAAACUGUGAACGUGAUACCUACCCAGAAAGCUGUAAACAGCAGAGCCGGUGAGAGUUACUCGAAGUCUCAGCAACAGUGUCUUUGUGUUCUAGCGGCCACCUGUGGAGAGAGAGCAGAACGAGAGUGAAUCAUUGAAGAGCAAAUUGUGAACGUGAUACCUACCCAGAAAGCUGUAAACAGCAGAGCCGUGGCCGCCUGUGGAGAGCAAGGAGAAACAAUUGGAGAACAGACUGUGUAACGUGAUACCCACCCAGAGAGCUGCAAGCAGAAGAGCCGGUGGGAGACACCUCAAGUGUAAGCUAACAGUGCUUUUGUGUAGCAGUGACUAUCUGUGGGGCAUAAGGAGAACGUGGACGGACGUACGACAGGGAACGUAAAGGCACGUGGGGCGAGGACCCCCUGCCGGCCCAAGGAGAGGUACACCGACAGUGGAGGACUUCCUUACCAGUCACACCAAAAUUGUUCUGCCUCCAGGACGGAAGAAGGAGGGCGCCACGGUUAGCAGGGUCCAGGCCGGAGCCUGACGUUUCCCUUUCCCCCCCCCAGCUUAUGGUGGUUGGCACCCUCGUUGCCCUUGGCCUGUCUGCCGUGGCUGCAGCCUCCCUGGAGGGAGAAGAAGAGGCCUAUUAGUUUUAAUUUUCCCCUUUCCCCAAAUUCCCAGUUCUUUUAAAUAUUUAAACUAAAUAAAGCUUGUUUUAAAUUUUA